AUUGAACGCUGGCGGCAUGCCUUACACAUGCAAGUCGAACGGUAACAGGUCUUCGGAUGCUGACGAGUGGCGAACGGGUGAGUAAUACAUCGGAACGUGCCCGAGAGUGGGGGAUAACGAGGCGAAAGCUUUGCUAAUACCGCAUACGAUCUCAGGAUGAAAGCAGGGGACCGCAAGGCCUUGCGCUCACGGAGCGGCCGAUGGCAGAUUAGGUAGUUGGUGGGAUAAAAGCUUACCAAGCCGACGAUCUGUAGCUGGUCUGAGAGGACGACCAGCCACACUGGGACGGAGACACGGCCCAGACUCCUACGGGAGGAAGGAGUGGGGAAUUUUGGACAAUGGGCGAAAGCCUGAUCCAGCCAUGCCGCGUGCAGGAUGAAGGCCUUCGGGUUGUAAACUGCUUUUGUACGGAACGAAAAGACUCUGGUUAAUACCCGGGGCUCAUGACGGUACCGUAAGAAUAAGCACCGGCUAACUACGUGCCAGCAGCCGCCGUAA
Molecule: ribosomal RNA, 498 nt
Filed under: uncultured bacterium
Lineage: Bacteria
Description: partial 16S ribosomal RNA
Rfam family: Bacterial small subunit ribosomal RNA
Source: RNAcentral